This is a non-coding RNA of Pelobates cultripes (western spadefoot toad), 701 nucleotides long. Lineage: Eukaryota; Metazoa; Chordata; Amphibia; Anura; Pelobatidae. The record is from the annotation of a GenBank genome assembly.
UUUUUUUUUUACGUUUGUUUAAUUUUUUUUAUUUCUUCUCUUCCCCGUAAUGAAAUAUAUCAGUUUACGCAAGAUGCUGAGGUGUCAAGACUGCUCUUUAAGAUAACAAACAUCUCUCCCCUUUUUGCAUUAUUUCUUUUUGGAAAUUUUUUGUGCUUCCUGGAUUCUGGGUAUUAGUGCUUCUCUUGUAACUGGAGUCCUUUUUUUUUCCCUUUAAUGUUACACUACCUUCACACCUUACUAAGAAAUGUACCUUCAGGAAGAAAGGAAAUCCAUUUGUAAUGUUUGUUAAACGACUGUUCGAUGUCCUCCAUUUCAAAAAAAAAAAAAAUGGGAAGAAUCCGUAAAGCGCAUGAAAUUGAUACAAUGGCCUCUGAUGGGUCCAUUUCUAUGUCCCAGUUGCCAUUUUCCAGUAUAUGAAAAUGUUUUCCAUUAGGCUCUUCUCUGCCAGAAGGGACUUUUCUCCACAUCUCCCUAUGUCUUGGAUUGUGGAGAAGCCAGGGUCCUAUUUGUAUUUUCUGGCUGUGAAAGACAUAACUUGCUCUGAUAUCAGUGCUUAAAGCACGUUGCACAGGUGGAGGCACCUGCAAGCCUUCCAUCGUAACCCAAUAUAGCAUCCAAUGCAUCAGAAUAAGGGAGGAAAUGUCCACCCCUUUCAAAUCUACACAGAAUUCCGUAGGAGCCCUUGUAACGUUUUAUAG